AAUGAAGGUGAUGAUAUUUUCUUAUGUGAAUAUGAAUAUGACAUACAUUGGCACAGUUUCAAGCGUCUUGCAGAGAUC
Molecule: small nucleolar RNA, 78 nt
Organism: Vitis vinifera (wine grape)
Lineage: Eukaryota; Viridiplantae; Streptophyta; Magnoliopsida; Vitales; Vitaceae
Rfam family: Small nucleolar RNA snoR28
About the family: R28 is a member of the C/D class of snoRNA which contain the C (UGAUGA) and D (CUGA) box motifs.
Source: Rfam